CCUACGGGUGGCUGCAGUGGGGAAUUUUGGGCAAUGGGCGCAAGCCUGACCCAGCAACGCCGCGUGAAGGAAGAAGGCUUUCGGGUUGUAAACUUCUUUUAAGAGGGAAGAGCAGAAGACGGUACCUCUUUACUCAGCCACGGCUAACUACGUGCCAGCCGCCGCGGUAAUACGUAGGUGGCAAGCGUUGUCCGGCUUUACUGGGUGUAAAGGGCGUGUAGCCGGGCUGACAAGUCCGAUGUGAACUUCCGGGGCUCAACCCCGGACCUGCAUUUGAAACUGUUGGUCUUGAGUGUCGGAGAGGCAGGCGGAAUUCCUAGUGUAGCGGUGAAAUGCGUAGAUAUUAGGAGGAACACCAGUGGCGAAGGCGGCCUGCUGGACGACAACUGACGGUGAGGCGCGAAAGCGUGGGGAGCAAACAGGAUUAGAUACCCCAGUAGUC
This 442-nucleotide ribosomal RNA is filed under the name uncultured bacterium. RNAcentral describes it as "partial 16S ribosomal RNA". It matches the Rfam family "Bacterial small subunit ribosomal RNA", at positions 338 to 795 of the family's 1533-position model. The record is from RNAcentral.